Molecule: transfer RNA, 63 nt
Filed under: Megophrys gigantica
Lineage: Eukaryota; Metazoa; Chordata; Amphibia; Anura; Megophryidae
Description: tRNA-Cys
Rfam family: tRNA
About the family: Transfer RNA (tRNA) molecules are approximately 80 nucleotides in length. Their secondary structure includes four short double-helical elements and three loops (D, anti-codon, and T loops). Further hydrogen bonds mediate the characteristic L-shaped molecular structure. tRNAs have two regions of fundamental functional importance: the anti-codon, which is responsible for specific mRNA codon recognition, and the 3' end, to which the tRNAs corresponding amino acid is attached (by aminoacyl-tRNA synthetases). tRNAs cope with the degeneracy of the genetic code in two manners: having more than one tRNA (with a specific anti-codon) for a particular amino acid; and 'wobble' base-pairing, i.e. permitting non-standard base-pairing at the 3rd anti-codon position.
Source: RNAcentral
AGCUCUGUGGUGUAGACACAUCGGAUUGCAAAUCCGAAGACGCGAGUGAUUUCGCCGGGGCUU